UUCAUGGAGAGUUUGAUCCUGGCUCAGGACGAACGCUGGCGGCGUCCCUAAUACAUGCAAGUCGAGCGGACCGACGGGAGCUUGCUCCC
RNAcentral lists this ribosomal RNA (89 nucleotides) under Bacillus haynesii. RNAcentral describes it as "partial 16S ribosomal RNA". It matches the Rfam family "Bacterial small subunit ribosomal RNA", at positions 1 to 87 of the family's 1533-position model. Lineage: Bacteria; Bacillati; Bacillota; Bacilli; Caryophanales; Bacillaceae. The record is from RNAcentral.